GGCAAAAAUUUGUGCGAGCCAUGGUGUAUAUGAAGAAUUUGUCUCUAGAUCCUCAUCCAUUAAUGCAGAAUAUGAAGCUAAAGCCUGUGACACACAGGCAGCUGUUAAGGAAACCAAGGAAGAGAUAGACUCCAUGUCUAUCUUGUGCUUGAAUCAGCUUAAGUGUGUCAGUUAGAAUCAUACUGAAAGCAUAACAAAUAUCAGAAACCGAGCGGAGCAGUGUCUGAGGAAAGAUUAUUUGGUUGAUCAGCAUACUAGUACAACUCCGAAGUUGAAGAUAAUAGGAGUGCUUAGCUUGGCAUCCAUCGAGGAGAUGAGAACGCCUGCAGUUGGAGAUCUUAUGGCGAAUUUUACCGGACCAAAUUUGGGCUGUACU
Molecule: non-coding RNA, 376 nt
Organism: Camellia sinensis
Lineage: Eukaryota; Viridiplantae; Streptophyta; Magnoliopsida; Ericales; Theaceae
Source: RefSeq, a predicted model, not a curated record